Molecule: long non-coding RNA, 4071 nt
Organism: Halichondria panicea
Lineage: Eukaryota; Metazoa; Porifera; Demospongiae; Suberitida; Halichondriidae
Exons: 2
Source: RefSeq, a predicted model, not a curated record
GUAGAUAUGAUGAUGUCAUAGCUAAAAAUACUUACCAAUCGGAUUACCCUUGAUAGUGUUUGUUGGCUAUAAAAGAGGUUGUGUCUUAAUUUCAAGGCUUAGGCACGUAGGAAACAACUUUGACCAGGAGUACAUAGUACUCCUGCUUUGACAAUGCCUCAUUGUUAUAUUAAGAAAAUGAGUGGUGAUCGCUUUAUAGCUACCUCUUUGUAGAGUGUGCUAUUUAGUGAUCAAAAAACCCAAAUAACCCACUCAAACAAUCAAUUAAACAAAACGCACGCAUGGAAACAGUAAGAUAUCUUUAUAAGGCUUGUAUGUGUGUUAACUGCCUGUAGUCCUAGCUGUACUGCAAGACUGCAUGCAGGAUAGAAUGGUGAGGCAUCUUCUCACCUGUAAGCUUAAGACUACAAUAGUCUAUGUCUAGAAAUUAAAUAUUCUCAGUGAUAAAUUUCCCUAUAGCUAUAUAUACUUGACUGUGUAGCCAGCUGCUCUAGCUGUAGCUACACUUGGUUGUAGUGACAAUGGAUGCUUGUGUGAGUCUAUGAAUUCUGUUCACACUAGGGCGUAGUGUUUAUGAAUGUACUUCACAGCUCACCCCCACUUACCCCCCUCACACUCGAUAAGUUGAAUCAUUGAUCGCUGGUAUAUGCAAGCUGGUUUGUUUGGCCCUGAUUUAGACCAAUCUGAAUCAAUAAUGAUGAUGUAUUGCUCAUAGCCUCCAGUCUGUAUAUAAGGGACCAUCACACAAGCCAGUGUAGUAAUUAGUCUACUAUUGUACAGCAGUUCCACUGUACUGUCAAGAGUUUUCAAAGCCCCUUUGCUGAAUCUUGUGUGAAGUUUCAACUCUGUUACAUCAUGUUGAAAUAACUGGAACAAUAGAGGGACCUUUUUUUAGAGUGUUCCCUCGCCCAAUAAACCAAACAAAAAAUCCACCUCUCAUGUCUGACUUUAUUAGUUGUUAUAAUUGUGGGCGGUUUGCUGUAUUCAUUAGUUGUGCUGACAAUGUGGUAUAUGGUUUGCUGUGUUCAUUAGUUGUGCUGACAGUGUGGUAUGGUUGGCUGUAUUCAUUAGUUAAAAGCCUGUGUACAUGUUAGAGAUUACCAUUGUCCCAGUGGUACUCUCCCUGGGAGAGCCCCAAGGUUGUUUACUCACGCUCUAUAAGUUGUGUCAUUGCUGGCUGACUGAUAUGUGCAAACUGGUUUGUGAUUUGGACCAAUCAUAAUCAAUAAUGAUGAUGUAUUGCUCAUAGUCUCCAGUCUGUAUAUAAGGCACCAUCACACAAGCCAGAGUAUAUUAAAAGUACUGAGUACGGCAGUUCCACUGUACUGUCAAGAGUUUUCAAAAGCUUUUUUGCUGAAUCUUGUGUGAAGUUUCAACUCUGUUACAUCAUGUUGAAAUAACUGGAACAAUAGAGGGACCUCUUUUUAGAGUGUUCCCUCGCCCAAUAAACCAAACAAAAAAUCCACCUCUCAUGUCUGACUUUAUUAGUUGUUAUAAUUGUGGCUGGUUUGCUGUAUUCAUUAGUUGUGCUGACAGUGUGGUAUGUGUUUUAUUGAGUGUUUCAGAGCCGGGUAUUCCUGAGGUUAUGUAAGGGGGAGAGGAGUAGCCAAUCAGAUGUUACUUCUGUAGAUUGCAUCAUAGACUUUGAGCAAGCCUAUAAAAGCCACUGACUGGGAAGCUGUAGCUACCUUAUUCAGCUCUUGAAUUUGUGUCACUUUUGAGAUUUAAUCUCCAACAUCAUGUCUGAGCCCAUCAGACAAACAUUUAUGUUUUGGUGGUUGGUUUAAAUGGGCACCCAACUCAGAGGGGCUCCUCUUAGUAGAGUGAGACCCUCCCACAAACAAAACAAAACAAUUAUUAUGCGCAUGUGUAGAGUUACUAGACGUACCUCCAUUGCUUAAGUAAUUAGUAAAACCAGUAGGUUUUACAUAGGAUUGGCAGUGGGUUUGCCUGUGUUUAGCAAUAUUUCAAUUAUUUUGACUCAUGUUCAAACUGUUCUAUCUCUGCAGGGAAAGGCCACAUCAAGAAACUGGCUGAACAGAUAGUUUAUUUAGCCUUUUCUCUCUUUGUAUCUCUCAUUUCAUAAUCCAUAAACAUUUUAAUGAAUAAAUAUUUUCAUUUUAAAAAUUGCACUAUUUCGACGUUUCACCGCUCUUUGUCUGACUGACUAAGUAAGUAAGUAAGUAAGUAAGUAAGUAAGUAAGUUUCUUGCCCAGCAUUUACUCCAAGUACAGCCAUCUCCAGGACAUUCUGCACAGGGUUUCCAAACGACUACAACCUGGAUUACAAAGCGCUUCUUCAGAUUUGCGAUUGCUUCCACGAGGCAGAUGACCUCUCAGUCUCUAUUUCUCUUACCUAGACAAUUCCGCCAUCUUUAAUGACUCAGCAAUUGCGUUGUGGCCAAUAAUAAUAGAUAGGCGUGGCUAAUAAACCGUCCGCCUAAAAUCAGUGCAGCAGUGCUUUUCCAGAGCCUGAGGUGUUCCUUUUCUUCACACUGUUCAGCUCUAGCUCCCUUUCUCUGACAGGCAUGCUAUAUGCACUGGCUAGAUAUCAUGCUCUUAAAAUGGCUGUCAUUUAAUACUGAUUCGCAAAUUCAACAUAAUUAUCAAGUAAUAAAUUAUUACUCAUUAUACUAUAAUUAUUAGUCCAGAGAUAUUCGAGAAGAUAUCUGAUUAGUCCUGUCUUCUCUUCUUGUACUGCCUCUUGACGUUCCACUUAUGCAUGUCAUGAUACGUAAACUGUACUGAAAAAGAAAGGGAAUCCGACUAGAAAAACAUUUGCAAUGUGAAAAAUUGCUAGGAUUGGCCAGGGGAACCACAAAAAAGCGUGGGAACAAGAAAUCAGACGAGAGCAUAACUCCAAUCCGUUACAACGUCAUGAACAUGUACAAUACAUAGUAUAUUAAAUAAUAGACUGUGUUCCAGAUCCACCUAUCAGCUUCCAUCCACCACAUCAUUCCAUGCAGUCACCAGUACGGUCCGUGCAUGUUACUACGCAUGGAUGGACUGUGUGUACCUGUGCUCAACACUGCAUGUAUUAGGAACAUCAAUUCAUCACAAAUCAUCAUGAUUAUGUGCCCCACAUUCUAAAAUGGAUGUAUAAUAAAUAUAUAUAGGGAUUGGUCAUCACUCCACCAGUAAAAAUUGCGUGGCAUAUUGGCUGGGAAAACAUGGGAAAACUACCAGUAUACAUGUGAUUGACGUUGUAACGGAUUGGAGUUAUGCUCUCGUCUGAUUUCUUGUUCCCACGCUUUUUUGUGGUUCCCCUGGCCAAUCCUAGCAAUUUUUCACAUUGCAAAUGUUUUUCUAGUCGGAUAACUAUAGUCCUGUCAGUUAUGGACUGACUAUCAUUAUACGCAUUAAUUGGUUGAUAAUAAUAUUAUUAUUAGCCAUGUGGCUAUGUAUUCUCCCUAUAUAAAUAAUAUUAUUAGAGCUAAUAAUUAUGUGCCUAUAAUUAUGUUCUCCCCCUCUAGUGAUAAUAAAUAAUGUGGACUAGCUGCUCUGUAGUUACAUGUAUGUCACUCCAGAGCAUUUACAGAUUGUACGUAUCAUCAUGUCAUGUAGAAUGUAUGCUCCAUCGCUUGCUCACUCUCCGCCGUAAUUUUGUCGUAUUCUCGAGGAACCUAAACUGUAUGGUGUUUGGUGGCGGCGACAAGUUUACCUUUCCAGUCUUUUCAGGUGGACACUCCCCUCCAAGCAUCAUCCGGAGCUGAGCAUUGAUCGUUGCUUUGUCGGUGCCAAUAUCUGCCAGCCUUGUCACUAUUUUUGCAGCAAGAUCCAGCUUCUUUUGCUCGUUUUGAGCGUUCACCCGCUUGCUUUUCUCUUGUACAAGCCACACAUCGAGUUCUGAUUUAGCAGCGUUUAUCUCGCGCUCCAGCUUCAAUUCUCUUGCCCGUUCAUCCAUUUGUUCUUUUUUGUCCUGAUAUUCCAGCUGCUUUUGUUUCGUCUUUUCUUCCUCCAGUCUCAGUUUAGCUUUGGCUCCAAUGUUUUGUAUCUCAGCCAGCUGCAGUUGUUGCUGAAUCUCGAGCUGCUUAAUUCUUUCUUCAGCCUCUUUUACCAAACGCUUUGUUUC